Molecule: long non-coding RNA, 626 nt
Filed under: Malus domestica (apple)
Lineage: Eukaryota; Viridiplantae; Streptophyta; Magnoliopsida; Rosales; Rosaceae
Description: long non-coding RNA (MDOM_LNC005800)
Source: RNAcentral
AGUAAUUUGUUUUAUUCAAAUGUUGUAAAGAGCAUAAGCUCAUCUUUACUUUGAAGUACUCCUUUCUUGUUUUAUUUGAUAUGCAUGAAAAUGGAGUAGAGGGUCCAACGCCCCUAAGACAACACGCCUUAAUGUGAUUAAACGUGUAACUAAAAUCAAUCACCAUCCCUAGACCAAGAUUCAACACUAGGCUCGUGUUGAAUCUAAACAAAAGGUUCAUAGUCAUCCUAAGGCCCUAAGGCAACUAUAUAGUCCAUCAAAUGAAUGCAAAGUUUAUGUUAGUAGUAUCAUAUACUCUUGCUUUAAAACCGUUUUAUAAGCAUAGUGGGAGUAUUAUAUACAACUAAAUUCAAUCAAAUGGACCAAUAGUUGUAAUAGGAACAAAAUUGUUUUAAUAAGAUUAAAAUGUAUGUUCAUAUAUGAUGAGACCUAAAACCCUCAACCAAACCAUUAUUAAGUUGAUAAGCGAGAGAUGCUUUGAACAUCUCUUCGUAGGCCUUGCACCAUGGUGGGCUUCAAUCGUUUGUGACUCAUACACCGUAUUCGUCCAAUUCUGGGGUAUGCAAAGUAUGUGCUUACAUUCAGGAGAAGCCUAUAAACAUAUGAUGAAGUGAAGGUAGGCAACG